Long non-coding RNA from Rhinolophus ferrumequinum (greater horseshoe bat), 3191 nucleotides. RefSeq lists it as uncharacterized. The record is from RefSeq and is a predicted model, not a curated record. The transcript has 3 exons. Lineage: Eukaryota; Metazoa; Chordata; Mammalia; Chiroptera; Rhinolophidae.
AAACCGCUGAGUUCCGGGAGCAGGGUGGAGCCAAGCCAGACGGAGGCCGAGGGUAGAGCGACGGACGGUCCCGUGGGAACGCUGAGGUGGAGCCCGAACUCUAUCUCUGCGGAUCCGGGUGGAGGUGGCGCCAGAGUCUUAUGUUGCUGUUUGCAGUGGUUUCAGAAGUUCUGGAAGUGUCUGUGACAAUCACUGUCUCCUCCACAAUUUCUAGUUUUGGAAGACUACUAGAGAACACAUUACAGUCCGGGAUUAUGGAAAGAAAAGGAAGCCCAUUUAUCUGCUGGAAUGAGAGGAGCAACCUCUGAGGCGGCCCCAAUCCCCUCCCACUCCCAAUACUUCCCAUGCUGGGGUGACAUCUCCAGUGGGGUUCCUAGGCCAUUGCUCACAACCCUCACCUCAGCUUCAGGAGCUGACGCACAGUCUAAAUGAAGUCUUCCUCGAGGCCUCCAAUAUUCCUUUACCUUCAACUUCUGGCUUCUCUGACACCUGGACUGCAUGUCCUUCAUCUCUUUUUUUCCUGAUCCCAGCCUGGAUCUAACUGAUACAUGGAUGGCCUGUUGCUCUACUGCAGCGAUAGGAACAGAAUUCUUUCACUUUGAGAAGCCUAGUUGUUUUAAAAAAAAGGACAGCACAGUUUUUUCAUGCAGCAGGUAUGCAUUUGUCUGACUGCAUUUGCCCCCUGCUCGUGGAGGGCAUGUAGAUAAAGCCAAUGGUCGCCUGCCAUGCAGUCUGCUCCUUGACCUAAGUAAUCCUAGUGUUUCCAGCCAGAGCCCCGAAAGGCCAGGCGGUUAGAACCGCGGGAGGAACCGGGCUGGGUGGGCCAGGCCCGCCAGAGGGCGCUGUCGGCUCGCGGAGCCAGGCGUGGUGGCCCUGGGCCGCGAAGUGCCGUCGCGACGCCACUCAGCUGCCUGGUGACUGCCGAACUACAGUACCCGGUUGCGGUGGAGUGCGGCGAGCCAACCAUCGCCAAGGCGCUCAGCUGAGCAAGGAAGGGAGAAACUACCAAGAUUUGUGACGUUGUUGUUUCAACGUGCCAUCCUUGUGACAAAUAUUUAUAGAGCACAAAGUUGUACCUUUUAUGUCCAAGAUACUGGAGCGUAAAGUAUCGAGAUGAGUCAUACUACAUCUCCCAACUUAAAGACUUUUCAGAGAAGUGGCAGAAUUAAGACAGGCACCAAAUAAGUCCAUUGCAGUGCAGGCAGAGGUCAGGGCUGUAAGCAGGAGGUAGGAGGUAGGGCCAGGAGAGUUCGGGGAGGAGGCCCCAUAGCUUCAGCUAAGGGAAUAAGGAACGGGCCCACGGAGGAUUAGCGUCUUCAAGGAGAGAAGGAUGUGCACCCUACAUCACAUAUUGGUUGCAACAGAUGUUCUGGUUUUGCAUGUAUUAUACAUACCUACAUGACUGUUCUCUGUGACAAAAGACACUAUUCCCUGUCCUGGAGUAUCAUCUCCUUGAUCCUGACAGGUAAAUUAGAAAUAGAAAUGGAUUAAUCCAAUGUCCAGAAUGUCUUAGAGAUAUAUAACUUCAUCUGAACAGUCAGAUCAGUCAUUUUGCUAAUUGAUGAGGUCCAGAGGGAACCUGCAGAAACAGCUGUUACACUUGGUACAGGUAUUAUAAAACCAUAUGCCGAAAAUAUAUCUAAUUGGUGUUAGCAGAGAAGAUGCAAAAAAAAUAGAGAAAUUGAAAAACAGAAACGUCCUUUGGUUUUAAAGACAAAUACCACCAAAACUCUUGUCAAUAACAUAGCCCCUGAGAAUUAUUAUAAGUCUAUAAUAUUGUACUGCACUGAGGCUGGAACCAACAAAUUAAAACAAACCUGGACCUUGGACUUAUAAGGAAUUAAAAUGUAAUUGGAGUUAUUACUGUUAGAUUGUAUUGCAUUGGUUUCAGCAUGGCAAUGUGUAAAAAUUAGUAAAACUAGGAAGUGAGAGAGUUAGUUUUAGACCUGUAAUUAGUGUUUUGGUUAUUAAAAAAAAUUUUUUUCUUGUGUGGCGAAUCAGUUAACUUCUCUAGGGUUCAGUUUCCUCAUUUAAUGGAGGAAUUUAACAGUGAUAAAGGAUAUAGACCCGGUGAUUGCUCAAAUCCUGCAGAGUGUAACAAACAGGUCUGUCUUAGUUCAGUUGUGUCUGCAUGGCUCCUCAGUGCUAACUUGGUUCUGAAGUCGCUUGAAGGACCUGCAUAUCCUGUGAGGUUGGACAAAUUGAGGGAAGGGGAGAAGGAGCUAGUUCUGAUAGGCUGGAUUCUUCCAUGUCAUCUGAAGUCUUCUGCAUGCAGUGGCCCAAACCACUGAUUGUGACCUCUGCAACCUGUAACUUACUACAGCACUUUCUGAUGGUGACAUUUAUCUGUCAUUUACUCAGUGCUACGUUGAGUGAUUUUUCUGCACCACAUAUUUGAGGAUAGGGUUCACGGCAGUCUUCAGUGCUACUCACCAAAUAUUUCAGGCUCCUCGCCCCUGUGGGUGGGAGAAUUUCCCAGCCCCCUUGUGGCUGGGGGAGGGAGGCCACAUGACUUGUUCUAGCCAACAACUAGUAAGCAGAAGUGAUGGUUAGCACUUCCUGUGGACUAUUUAAUUACCUGAGUAAGACCCUUAACAGGUUCCUUUGUUCUCUGCCUGUGACCAGCUGUGUUCCAGAGAGUGACUUUUCUGUUGGCCUGGAUGCAGGAGUGGGAGUGCUGCCGAUGUGGAGCAGAGCUGCCAGCCGACCCACCAUGGACUUACAGCACACUUGAGAAUCGUCUCUGUUAUUUUAAGACCUUGGGAUUUGGGCACUGUUACUAUAGAAGCACGUUCUGUCCCAUCCCGACUAAUAAAGGGUCAUUGUGUGUCAUCAUCUUUGUUUCCCCAGUGCUCCAAAUGACAUGGCACUCAAUACCAACAGCUAAAUAAAUGACUGACUGAAUCGCUCUACUUGUCUCCCUCACUGGAGUAGGAAUCAUCACUAGAUCUACCUGUCCUCCCCAGGGUCCUGGACAUAGCAGGUGUUAGUAAAGACCCAUGCAUUGAUUUCUGUACUUAAAAGUCCCAAGACGAAGCCCAACAUCCAGCAUCAGAACCAGAGACAAUGUGUUAUGUGAUGUUGUUUUCUGUAUGGUGCCUGAGAGAGUGGGGUUCAGGGUGGAGGGAGCCGAGGAAGGAGGGGCCUUAGGCCAUCCCCUGCCUGCAUGCCUCUCGAAGCUCUGUGGUGUU